GAUGAACGCUGGCGGCGUGCCUAAUACAUGCAAGUCAAGCGAACAGAUGAGGAGCUUGCUCCUCUGACGUUAGCGGCGGACGGGUGAGUAACACGUGGAUAACCUACCUAUAAGACUGGGAUAACUUCGGGAAACCGGAGCUAAUACCGGAUAAUAUAUUGAACCGCAUGGUUCAAUAGUGAAAGACGGUUUUGCUGUCACUUAUAGAUGGAUCCGCGCCGCAUUAGCUAGUUGGUAAGGUAACGGCUUACCAAGGCAACGAUGCGUAGCCGACCUGAGAGGGUGAUCGGCCACACUGGAACUGAGACACGGUCCAGACUCCUACGGGAGGCAGCAGUAGGGAAUCUUCCGCAGUGGGCGAAAGCCUGACGGAGCAACGCCGCGUGAGUGAUGAAGGUCUUCGGAUCGUAAAACGCUGUUAUUAGGGAAGAACAAAUGUGUAAGUAACUAUGCACGUCUUGACGGUACCUAAUCAGAAAGCCACGGCUAACUACGU
Molecule: ribosomal RNA, 496 nt
Filed under: uncultured bacterium
Lineage: Bacteria
Description: partial 16S ribosomal RNA
Rfam family: Bacterial small subunit ribosomal RNA
Source: RNAcentral